UCCAGACUCCUACGGGAGGCAGCAGUGGGGAAUAUUGCACAAUGGGGGGAACCCUGAUGCAGCGACGCCGCGUGGGUGAAGGAGCACCUCGGUGCGUAAAGCCCUAUCGGCAGGGAAGAAACAGACGGUACCUGACUAAGAAGCCCCGGCUAACUACGUGCCAGCAGCCGCGGUAAUAUGUAGGGAGCGAGCGUUGUCCGGAAUUACUGGGUGUAAAGGGAGCGUAGGCGGGGAUGCAAGUUGGGUGUUAAAUCUACCGGCUCAACUGGUAGUCGCACUCAAAACUGCAGCUCUUGAGUGAAGUAGAGGCAGGCGGAAUUCCUAGUGUAGCGGUGAAAUGCGUAGAUAUUAGGAGGAACACCAGUGGCGAAGGCGGCCUGCUGGGCGUUUACUGACGCUGAGGCUCGAAAGUGUGGGGAGCAAACAGGAUUAGAUACCCCGGUAGCG
RNAcentral lists this ribosomal RNA (447 nucleotides) under uncultured bacterium. RNAcentral's name for it is "bacterial SSU rRNA". It matches the Rfam family "Bacterial small subunit ribosomal RNA", at positions 330 to 795 of the family's 1533-position model. The record is from RNAcentral.